GUGGGGAAUAUUGGACAAUGGGCGAAAGCCUGAUCCAGCCAUGCCGCGUGUGUGAAGAAGGUCUUCGGAUUGUAAAGCACUUUAAGUUGGGAGGAAGGGCAGUAAGUUAAUACCUUGCUGUUUUGACGUUACCGACAGAAUAAGCACCGGCUAACUUCGUGCCAGCAGCCGCGGUAAUACGAAGGGUGCAAGCGUUAAUCGGAAUUACUGGGCGUAAAGCGCGCGUAGGUGGUUUUGUAAGUUGGAGGUGAAAUCCCCGGGCUCGACCUGGGAACUGCCUCCAAAACUGCAUGACUAGAGUACGGUAGAGGGUAGUGGAAUGUCCUGGGUAGCGGUGAAAUGCGUAGAUAUAGGAAGGAACACCAGUGGCGAAGGCGGCCACCUGGACCAGCACUGACACUGAGGCACGAAAGCGUGGGGAGCAAACAGGAUUAGAAACCCUGGUAGUCC
This 450-nucleotide ribosomal RNA is filed under the name uncultured bacterium. RNAcentral's name for it is "bacterial SSU rRNA". It matches the Rfam family "Bacterial small subunit ribosomal RNA", at positions 354 to 796 of the family's 1533-position model. The record is from RNAcentral.